GUAUUAUAAUUUAAAGGCACAGAAGGCCUAUUAUUAACAUUCUAUAACUUGUUACGGAGUAUAUUUUAAAAACAUAGACCUGGAAUGCAAGAACAGCUGAUUUUCACAACAGUCCUCAAACCGAGUUUCCUCGAACAGUUUCACUCAGGUCUACAGUAUGUGCACAGGUGGUUAAAAUGGAGUGAGUGUGCACAUGCUCCUAAGAGCCAGCAGCAACCCAACCAAGUUUAUUCAAUAAUGAUCCUUCCGCAGGUUCACCUACGGAAA
RNAcentral lists this unclassified non-coding RNA (267 nucleotides) under uncultured fungus. RNAcentral's name for it is "sequence contains ITS1". The record is from RNAcentral. Lineage: Eukaryota; Fungi.